RNAcentral lists this ribosomal RNA (273 nucleotides) under Acinetobacter sp. p63_B04. RNAcentral's name for it is "partial 16S ribosomal RNA". It matches the Rfam family "Bacterial small subunit ribosomal RNA", at positions 755 to 1026 of the family's 1533-position model. The record is from RNAcentral. Lineage: Bacteria; Pseudomonadati; Pseudomonadota; Gammaproteobacteria; Moraxellales; Moraxellaceae.
GAAAGCGUGGGGAGCAGACAGGAUUAGAUACCCUGGUAGUCCACGCCGUAAACGAUGACUGCUAGCCGUUUGGGGCCUUCCACGCUUUAGUGCCGCAGCUAACGCAAUAAGCACACCGCCUGGGGAGUACGGUCGCAAGACUGAAACUCAAAUGAAUUGACGGGGGCCCGCACAAGCGGUGGAGCAUGUGGUUUAAUUCGAUGCAACGCGAAGAACCUUACCUGGCCUUGACAUCCUAUGAGCUUUCUAGAGAUGGAUCGCUGCCCUCCGGAA